Molecule: long non-coding RNA, 1984 nt
Organism: Solenopsis invicta (red fire ant)
Lineage: Eukaryota; Metazoa; Arthropoda; Insecta; Hymenoptera; Formicidae
Exons: 2
Source: RefSeq, a predicted model, not a curated record
GCGGUCGAUAAGGUCGAUAUCUAGAUCAGAAAUCUUUGUAUAUAUCUUUCUACAAUAUUAUUUAUCUUAUUUUAAUAACUAUGCCCAACAGCAAGGUUUAUAUACGCGUAAAGUGUAAUCUACAAUGUACAUCGUGUUUCACAAAUAUCUUGAAAGAAAUUCGAGAAUGAAUCGCGAUUAGUCGUCGUGCGAGACAUGACGUGACGUCACACGUCGGCCACUGUGGUCUCUCUCGACUCGCGUCGCUCCUCUUCUCGCGCCAUCUUUCUUUCCAAACUACCGCUGCGCCGCGUCGGUUGGCUGCUUCCGUGCUCCGUUCUUUUCGCCUUUUUCAAGUGCAAGUUGCGCUUAGAUACGAUGGCGAAUACAUUGUAGUAGCGGGUAAUCGUCUUAAGACAAAAGUCGCCGUCUACAUACGUUGUAAUGCGAUAGAAAUAAUUGCAAGUGUACAAUAUUAGCGUCUGCUGCGUCGCGACAAGUUUAACUCGCGCGGUUUGCCUUUUAUUCGCGCUCGCGUGCAAUAUUCGCGGGAAUAUUAAAAUCAGGAGUGCCAAAUAGAAUAUUGGACGAUGUCAUUGAUGUACAACAUACGGCUCGUGAACAGUAGAACGAGAUGUCGACAGAGUUUCAGGGAGAAGAAGCGCGGCAUGGCUAAGCGCGGCUAGGCGCGGUGUCCUUGUGUAGCAGCUCGGCCUCUUCGGAAUGCGAGCCCUGAGAACUACGUUUCUUCUUGUGAUUGUUGUGAUGAUGGUAGCUGUGAGGUUGGUAAUGGUGGUGGUGGUGCUCCCGAUGCUGCAUCAGAGCGUCUGUCUCCGGCUGGCUUUGAUGACCUACCAGAAGGUCCAGGGUGCCUUUAGGUACGGCAGGCGCCUGUUCACUCGUCGCUGGUGGAAUUGGCGUCGCGACUGGCGACUCGACCGGAAGCGGGAUGCAAUGUAACACGUAACAUCUCACGCCCGCCAAGAUAAAGCCUGAAAUAAUAACAAUGAUAAUUAGAGUCGCAUCAUAUACACGUGUCUCAAUGAAGCGCAGAGUCGCGGAGACGAUGAGACGAUUCGAGUCGAGUGGUGACAAGCACGCACGCGUCAUCACCGAUGCGCCGCGCCGCGCCGAUCGAUCGAGCACGUUUAUAAUCCUUUAUUUGACGUUUUGCAAUCGGUUGGUACAAUUAACCGGCGCCUCGAUAGAGUCGAUAGUUUUCCAAAAGAGAAAUCAAUUUGGCAAAAUUUGUCUUUUCUCUUCAGAUGAACAAGCUCUCUCUCUCUCUCUCUCUUUCUAUUUCUUUUUCACACCUCAGGAUCUCAACUUUUAGCACAGUUUAUCUUUUCUCAUUCUCUCUCUCUCUCUCUCUCUCUCUCUCUCUGAUUGAGUGAGUAAAAAGAAAGAAGAGGAAAGAUGAAAGCCAGAAAUUCAGUUCUGGGGUGUGCAGAAGGAACAAGCUUAUAUUGAUUUAUUAUUUAUUAGACGUAUUAUCGCAAUCGUACAUGCAUAAAUAACUAAACGAUUUAAUUUCUCGAUUAUUAUUGAUAAAUAUAUGCUUUUACAGCUUGACGAACUUAUCGAUGAGCUAGAUUUAAUUCCUUCUCCAAUUUACGACAUGGAACGCGCCAUUAUAAUUAUAACGCCGUUAAAAAGUUUUUCGCUUGGUCUGUAAGAAUAGGUAUUACAUACGGUGCAUAACAUUAAGAUAAAAAGAAGGCUUUUCCAUAUCUAAGAAAGCUCACCCAGUAAAAGUAGGAUAGCGCCUGCCACAAGUAACGCCAACCUGUGGUUGGUGGUCGUUGCACCCGGGACAAGUUGGACGAGACCGACCACGAGCACCACCGCGCCCAACAACAGGCACACCACCACGGCGUGCAGCCCGGAUAUCUGCAGGUAACGAUCUUUGUCAAGCGACAAACGUGCUUACUUUUGCUACCGUUUCCCGGCGGGAUUAUUACACACACACACACACACACACACACACACACACACACACACUCCA